AAUAUUAUGGCAGCGGAAUUUAUUCUUGACAUUCAUUUGGAAAUACAGCAACACCCUCCCUCAGCUUCACACGAUACCAUCUGCCGCUCAACCUGCAAAAGGUUUUGAAAACAAUUGCAGGGCUGAGUACUAGUAUACUCAGUGGGUUUAGCCAUUUGAAAACAUUUGAAAAAAAAUCCAUUUAAAAGAAUAAUCCAUGCUAUGAACAGUAUAACAUAGAAAUAUUUGAAAGCAUUCCAUGCAUACAUAAAAUAAAUUGUGGAUCCAUUUUCAGUCUUCUCUCAAUUGGUGCUUCACCUAUAAUGUGAACAUGUGGGAGCAGCCCACAGAGGUCCACUACCAUGCAUGUUUCAGAAAUGGGAGCAGCCCAAGUCUGACAGUCUGAGGCAAGUGGGAGCAGCCCACAAUACCCCCUUGUGUGUACACAAUCCUAACCAGGGCGAUCCAAUCGCUACGCCGGCUAGGACCCGAUCGUUAGAGAACAUAGGAGCACUUUAAACAAUAGAGAGAUAAAAUCAUUUUAACAUGGACAUUCAUUUGCAUUUGCAUAAAAACAAUUUAGAGCUCAAUAACUCAAAACAUACAUUGGAAAAUAAAAACCCAGCUUGAUAACAAGCCUGUAGAUAAAACUUGCGCAAUUCUCUUCUUGUAAAAUCAGUGCUAAAGCCUUCUAUCAAGUGGACCUACAAGAUAAUCUAAUCUUAAUAGGCCUUAAAAUAUCGCAUGAGCUAACGAUUCUACAAAGCUGCUAAAUCUUAAUAUUCUGCGCCCGGAUUUUCAAAACUCAAUUGAAAAUCUUGAAAAUCGAAAUUAUCAAAAUACUUUUAUUGCAUUAUUCAGUAUGCAAAUUCAUAUCAUAUCUCAAAAUCACAUAAAGUAAAUAACUACACUUAAAAAAAAUGCAGCUGAACUCUUUAAUAAAAUAAGGCCCAUCUUAAAAAAAAGUAAUAGGCCCAAAAUAAAUAAGUAAACCCCCCCCCCCCUUACUUUCUCCCUCAC
This 999-nucleotide long non-coding RNA is filed under the name Salvia miltiorrhiza (redroot sage). RNAcentral's name for it is "long non-coding RNA (SMIL_LNC011886)". Lineage: Eukaryota; Viridiplantae; Streptophyta; Magnoliopsida; Lamiales; Lamiaceae. The record is from RNAcentral.